This 376-nucleotide long non-coding RNA is filed under the name Homo sapiens (human). RNAcentral's name for it is "HSALNT0364404". The record is from RNAcentral. Lineage: Eukaryota; Metazoa; Chordata; Mammalia; Primates; Hominidae.
AGGCACUGGCCUGGUACUGUCUACAGGAUCUGAGGUCUCAAAAAGACCUCCAAUAUGAACACCCUCCUUGUUUUAGCUGUGGGGAACUGAGGCUCAGCGUGUGCUGGAACUUCUCCACUGGUAUCGUGCCACCGCACUCCAGCCUGGGUGACAGAGCAAGACUCCAUCUCAAAAACAACAAAAACAAAAACUUCUCCACUGGACUCCCAGACUCCCACUAUUCAUGAGUACUUGUCAAAACUGAUGCCUCUGCAAAAGAAUAACAGUAGAAAGCUUCUAUUCUGUCAACUUGCUGACAUCCCAAAGCUGGUUUAUUAAGAAUGUCAUGCUUUGUAUAUAAUAUUGAUAAUAAAAACAAUAAAUAAUUUGUUUUGAG